Non-coding RNA from Dunckerocampus dactyliophorus (ringed pipefish), 72 nucleotides. NCBI's taxonomy places the organism in Eukaryota, Metazoa, Chordata, Actinopteri, Syngnathiformes, Syngnathidae. The record is from the annotation of a RefSeq genome assembly.
GCCCCGUUAGCUCAGUCGUAGAGCAUGAGGCUCUUAAUCUCAGGGUCGUGGGUUCAAACCCCACAUUGGGUG